AACCUAGCACACCUGCGGUGUGUACCUGCGGAAGGAUCAUUACAAGUGACCCCGGUCUAACCACCGGGGUGUUCAUAACCCUUUGUUGUCCGACUCUGUUGCCUCCGGGGCGACCCUGCCUUCGGGCGGGGGCUCCGGGUGGACACUUCAAACUCUUGCGUAACUUUGCAGUCUGAGUAAACUUAAUUAAUAAAUUAAAACUUUCAACAACGGAUCU
Molecule: unclassified non-coding RNA, 217 nt
Filed under: soil metagenome
Description: partial contains 5.8S ribosomal RNA, internal transcribed spacer 2, and large subunit ribosomal RNA
Source: RNAcentral